AGUGAACGCUGGCGGCAGGCCUAAUACAUGCAAGUCGAACGGCAGCACAGUGGAGCUUGCUCCAUGGGUGGCGAGUGGCGGACGGGUGAGGAAUACAUGGGAAUCUGCCCAGUCGUGGGGGAUAACGUAUGGAAACGUACGCUAAUACCGCAUGCGCCCUUCGGGGAAAGUCGGGGACCGCAAGGCCUGACGCGAUUGGAUGAGCCCAUGUUCGAUUAGCUAGUUGGCGGGUAACGGCCCACCAAGGCGACGAUCGAUAGCUGGUCUGAGAGGAUGAUCAGCCACACUGGAACUGAGACACGGUCCAGACUCCUACGGGAGGCAGCAGUAGGGAAUAUUGGACAAUGGGCGCAAGCCUGAUCCAGCCAUGCCGCGUGAGUGAAGAAGGCCCUCGGGUUGUAAAGCUCUUUUGUUGGGGAAGAAAAGCAGUUGGUUAAUACCCGAUUGUUCUGACGGUACCCAAAGAAUAAGCACCGGCUAACUUCGUGCCAGCAGCCG
RNAcentral lists this ribosomal RNA (498 nucleotides) under uncultured bacterium. RNAcentral's name for it is "bacterial SSU rRNA". It matches the Rfam family "Bacterial small subunit ribosomal RNA", at positions 29 to 517 of the family's 1533-position model. The record is from RNAcentral.